RNAcentral lists this non-coding RNA (23 nucleotides) under Cricetulus griseus (Chinese hamster). Lineage: Eukaryota; Metazoa; Chordata; Mammalia; Rodentia; Cricetidae. The record is from RNAcentral.
UACGACACCCUGGACAGAGAUGA